GGACGAACGCUGGCGGCGUGCCUAAUACAUGCAAGUCGAGCGAAUUUACGAGAGCUUGCUCUCGUAAAUUAGCGGCGGACGGGUGAGUAACACGUGGGCAACCUGCCUAUAAGACUGGGAUAACUUCGGGAACCGGAGCUAAUACCGGAUAAUUCACAUCUACUCAUGUAGAUGUGCUGAAAGACGGUUUACGCUGUCACUUAUAGAUGGGCCCGCGGCGCAUUAGCUAGUUGGUGAGGUAAUGGCUCACCAAGGCCACGAUGCGUAGCCGACCUGAGAGGGUGAUCGGCCACACUGGGACUGAGACACGGCCCAGACUCCUACGGGAGGCAGCAGUAGGGAAUCUUCCGCAAUGGACGAAAGUCUGACGGAGCAACGCCGCGUGAGUGAUGAAGGCUUUCGGAUCGUAAAACUCUGUUGUUAGGGAAGAACAAGUACCGGAGUAACUGCCGGUACCUUGACGGUACCUAACCAGAAAGCCACGGCUAACUACGUG
RNAcentral lists this ribosomal RNA (496 nucleotides) under uncultured Bacillus sp. Its description in RNAcentral is "bacterial SSU rRNA". It matches the Rfam family "Bacterial small subunit ribosomal RNA", at positions 27 to 507 of the family's 1533-position model. The record is from RNAcentral. Lineage: Bacteria; Bacillati; Bacillota; Bacilli; Caryophanales; Bacillaceae.